GCCCUUGCGAAAACCCCUCUGGAAUCACUAUAUUAGGGGUGCCGGUUUACCGGUUAUGGCGAUAAACGUUUGACGGAAUAAGCGUUACGGACCCGGGGGCAGUACCCGGCGCCUCCACCAAUUCCUUUCCCUCCCACCCAAUCGGGAGGGAAUUCGCGGGGGCGAAACAGGAUCGACGUGCGUGAUAAAGGUUGAAUUUUCGCUCGGCAUGGCACCACCGUUAUCGGGCCAAAAGCAAUAGUUGCUAAUGAUAACUAUGCUCAGGCUCGUCUUGCCGCUUAACGCGGUCGGAUGAUCCGAUUUUAAGUCCCCGGCCCUUGAGCUGGCCGAGGCGGGGUUCGGGAGGCGCCUGGCAACAGAAGCCUCCCACU
This 371-nucleotide transfer-messenger RNA is filed under the name Rhodospirillales bacterium. It matches the Rfam family "Alphaproteobacteria transfer-messenger RNA". From Rfam's summary of the family: Bacterial tmRNA, also known as 10Sa RNA or SsrA, is named for its dual tRNA and mRNA-like properties. Its role is to liberate the mRNA from a stalled ribosome. Lineage: Bacteria; Pseudomonadati; Pseudomonadota; Alphaproteobacteria; Rhodospirillales. The record is from RNAcentral.